AGCCACUGGAGGCUGAGCGCGCGCGUGGCUCCAUCUCACCCAGAGACUCAGAGCCCAGCCGGUUCGAUCAUCUCCUCAGCCCCGCCUUGAGGAGCAGGGAUUAAAGACUCUGACGGCCAGGGGACAGGCGAUGCUACUGAAGAAGAGGAAGCGCCCAGGUGCUGCAGCCGCUCGGAGGACUCCACUGCACUGGGAGAGGCCGUGAGACAGGAGGGUUGGUAGCACUGUCCUUCCAGCCAUGGAGCCAGGGCUGAGUGGGGCACCCAAUGGGUGCCGGACCAGCAGGACAAGCCCCAGGUGCCCGGGUCCCCCCCCACACAGCCAGGGCUGCUCAGGCAGAGGCCGCCCCGGAGCUGCCCCCCAGCAGGCCUAGGCAUCUACCACCAAGCGGGCUGUGGCCAGCACACGGCGGGCGGGCAGCGGGCAGGGGCACUCGGGAGUGUAAAUUCCACAUUUGCAUCUGGCCGUUCCCAGGCGAGGGCCACUGACCUUUCCAGCGCUGCCUCCGGCCUCCUCUCUCCCCGCCCUCCUGGCUCAGCCGGGCAGGGGCAGCCACAGACAGCUGGGGCCUGGGAGCGGGCUGGGGUGCACCCUGGCUCACCCCUCGGCCCUCGCUGUGCCCUGACCCAGCACCCAAGUCACAGCCUGACGCAGGGACAGCUGGGCCUGGAUUAGCAGCGUCACUGACACAUCGGCCGCCCCCACCCUCAGAGAUGCCUCCCCGGGGACGCCAUGUGGGUGCUGAGUGGCACUGUCACUGUCCCCACGCUGGGCU
Molecule: long non-coding RNA, 775 nt
Filed under: Heterocephalus glaber (naked mole-rat)
Lineage: Eukaryota; Metazoa; Chordata; Mammalia; Rodentia; Bathyergidae
Description: lncRNA (ENSHGLG00100045942.1)
Source: RNAcentral